Molecule: transfer RNA, 71 nt
Filed under: Trogonophis wiegmanni (checkerboard worm lizard)
Lineage: Eukaryota; Metazoa; Chordata; Lepidosauria; Squamata; Trogonophidae
Description: tRNA-Trp
Source: RNAcentral
AGAAACUUAGGUUAAUCUAAACCUGAAACCUUCAAAGUUUCAAAUAUGAGCGAAACCACUCUUAGUUUCUG